Balaenoptera ricei (Rice's whale) is the source of this 575-nucleotide long non-coding RNA. RefSeq lists it as uncharacterized. Lineage: Eukaryota; Metazoa; Chordata; Mammalia; Artiodactyla; Balaenopteridae. The transcript has 3 exons. The record is from RefSeq and is a predicted model, not a curated record.
GCUGGCUUCCGGCUGCCCCCUGGCGCGGAGGUGGGGGUCGCGGGCCUGCGGGAGAGGACCCUGAGCUCCCCCGAGCCGGAAGCGUCCUGAGCCGGCCGGCCGAGCCUGGCGGGUCGCCCUCUAUUGAGACGCCAGUCGGGCACGUUGGCUGCACGAAGAGCGCUACCAAGUGCCCCAGGAUUUUGAGCGGGGUCUCUCUUGCCUUUCCCUGAACAAGCCUUAGACCGCCAGAGGAUGUCCGGGGCGCGAAAAAACCGGUGGGGGAGCGGAAAGCGCCUUGGCGUGGGAAGAGUAGAGAAUGAAUUCCUUCCGAUUUGCUAGCUCUCUGAUCUUGGCCACACCACGCAGCUUGUGGGAUGUUCCCUGACCAGGGAUUGAACCUGGGUCCCCCCGGAAUCCUAACCACUAGGCCACCAGGGAAUUCCCGAUUGGUGCUUCUUUACCAAAGAUACAACUCUAGCCCUCUGUGAAUCCUCCUGCCUCCUAGAACCGUGGAACAAAAGCCCAGAUUUAAGGAGAUACACACAAGGGUGUCCCCAGGAUGCACUCUCCUUACUGCUUCAAGUUAAAUAAAC